GGCAGACUGUGCUGUUGGUGGUCCAGCAGUCCGGACUUCAGAUCCGGGAUACUCGAGAGAGUAUGGGGUUCGAUUCCCCCAGUCCGCCGCCA
RNAcentral lists this transfer RNA (92 nucleotides) under Candidatus Helarchaeota archaeon. RNAcentral describes it as "tRNA-Sec". It matches the Rfam family "Selenocysteine transfer RNA". Lineage: Archaea; Promethearchaeati; Candidatus Helarchaeota. The record is from RNAcentral.